GCCGCGAAUUCGCCCUUAGGGUUUGAUCAUGGCUCAGGACGAACGCUGGCGGCGUGCCUAAUACAUGCAAGUCGAGCGAUGAUUAAAGAUAGCUUGCUAUUUUUAUGAAGAGCGGCGAACGGGUGAGUAACGCGUGGGAAAUCUGCCGAGUAGCGGGGGACAGCGUUUGGAAACGAACGCUAAUACCGCAUAACAAUGAGAAUCGCAUGAUUCUUAUUUAAAAGAAGCAAUUGCUUCACUACUUGAUGAUCCCGCGUUGUAUUAGCUAGUUGGUAGUGUAAAGGACUACCAAGGCGAUGAUACAUAGCCGACCUGAGAGGGUGAUCGGCCACACUGGGACUGAGACACGGCCCAGACUCCUACGGGAGGCAGCAGUAGGGAAUCUUCGGCAAUGGGGGCGACCCUGACCGAGCAACGCCGCGUGAGUGAAGAAGGUUUUCGGAUCGUAAAACUCUGUUGUUAGAGAAGAACGUUAAGUAGAGUGGAAAAUUACUUAAGUGACGGUAUCUAACCAGAAAGGGACGGCUAACUACGUGCCAGCAGCCGCGGUAAUACGUAGGUCCCAAGCGUUGUCCGGAUUUAUUGGGCGUAAAGCGAGCGCAGGUGGUUUCUUAAGUCUGAUGUAAAAGGCAGUGGCUCAACCAUUGUGUGCAUUGGAAACUGGGAGACUUGAGUGCAGGAGAGGAGAGUGGAAUUCCAUGUGUAGCGGUGAAAUGCGUAGAUAUAUGGAGGA
RNAcentral lists this ribosomal RNA (733 nucleotides) under uncultured bacterium. Its description in RNAcentral is "partial 16S ribosomal RNA". It matches the Rfam family "Bacterial small subunit ribosomal RNA", at positions 1 to 705 of the family's 1533-position model. The record is from RNAcentral.